GAGGACGAAAUAUCUGACCUGAAUCAGAAAGAAUGUGCUAGCUGGUGCUUCUCGUGAAGAAAAAGGAAGGGCUAGGCAAACGAAAGAACAGUUUUAAGGCAAUGCAUCUGAAUAAUGAAAUAGAAAGAGUCAGAGGAAUAAUUACCCUGGACCACAAAACAAGAAUGAACUUAUAACUAACUAACCGCAAAGGACAAACUG
This 201-nucleotide long non-coding RNA is filed under the name Eucalyptus grandis. RNAcentral's name for it is "long non-coding RNA (EGRA_LNC003143)". Lineage: Eukaryota; Viridiplantae; Streptophyta; Magnoliopsida; Myrtales; Myrtaceae. The record is from RNAcentral.